This 87-nucleotide transfer RNA is filed under the name Gammaproteobacteria bacterium RIFCSPHIGHO2_12_FULL_42_13. Its description in RNAcentral is "tRNA-Ser". It matches the Rfam family "tRNA". Rfam says of the family: Transfer RNA (tRNA) molecules are approximately 80 nucleotides in length. Their secondary structure includes four short double-helical elements and three loops (D, anti-codon, and T loops). Further hydrogen bonds mediate the characteristic L-shaped molecular structure. tRNAs have two regions of fundamental functional importance: the anti-codon, which is responsible for specific mRNA codon recognition, and the 3' end, to which the tRNAs corresponding amino acid is attached (by aminoacyl-tRNA synthetases). tRNAs cope with the degeneracy of the genetic code in two manners: having more than one tRNA (with a specific anti-codon) for a particular amino acid; and 'wobble' base-pairing, i.e. permitting non-standard base-pairing at the 3rd anti-codon position. The record is from RNAcentral. Lineage: Bacteria; Pseudomonadati; Pseudomonadota; Gammaproteobacteria.
GGAGAGAUGGCUGAGUGGUCGAUAGCGGCGGUCUUGAAAACCGUUGAGUCCUUGCGGACUCCGGGGGUUCGAAUCCCUCUCUCUCCG